This 323-nucleotide ribosomal RNA is filed under the name Aphaenops sarpedon. RNAcentral's name for it is "Geotrechus sarpedon partial 16S ribosomal RNA". Lineage: Eukaryota; Metazoa; Arthropoda; Insecta; Coleoptera; Carabidae. The record is from RNAcentral.
AAUGGCUGCAGUAAUUUGACUGUACAAAGGUAGCAUAAUCAUUAGUUUUUUAAUUAAAAGCUUGAAUGAAAGGUUGGACGAAGUAAAAUCUGUCUCUUUAUAAUAUAAUUAGAAUUUAAUUUUUAAGUUAAAAAGCUUAAAUUUUUAUAAAAGACGAGAAGACCCUAUAGAGUUUAAUAAUUUUUAAAAAAUAAUUAAUUUAGAUUAAUUAAUUUUAUUUUUUAUAAAUUAUUUUAUUGGGGUAAUAAUAAGAUUUAAGUAAUUCUUUUUUUUAAGACCAUUAAUUUAUGAAAUUUAUGAUCCAGUAUUUUAUUGAUUAUAAG